This is a non-coding RNA of Anguilla anguilla (European eel), 489 nucleotides long. NCBI's taxonomy places the organism in Eukaryota, Metazoa, Chordata, Actinopteri, Anguilliformes, Anguillidae. The record is from the annotation of a RefSeq genome assembly.
AUAAAGCCCACUGAGAAUUCUCCUCCCAACACAGGAGCAUCACCUGUAAGACAGAGAGGGAGAUCUGUGCGUCACAAUGAGAGUUAUUAUAGCAUUAGCUGUGUUGCUGGGGACUUUAUCUCAUGGUCACUGUGUUGAACUCACGCAGCCAGGCUCUAUGACUGUAAAACCAGGGCAGCCUUUAUCUAUCUCCUGUAAAGUCUCUGGGUAUUCCCUGACUGAUAGCAGCUACUGUACGUCCUGGAUCCGGCAGCCUGCAGGGAAAGCUCUGGAGUGGAUUGGAUACAUUUGCUCUGAUGGAAACACAUAUUACAAGGAUUCAUUGAAGGGCAAAUUCACCAUCUCCAGAGAUACCUCCAGCAGUACAGUGAGUUUACAAGCAAGCAGCCUGCAGACUGGAGACACAGCUGUGUAUUACUGUGCCCGAUACACACAGUGCAGCAAAGCUACAGCAGACCUGUACAAAAAUAUACCCUGAUGAGUGUAAUG